RNAcentral lists this ribosomal RNA (495 nucleotides) under uncultured bacterium. RNAcentral's name for it is "partial 16S ribosomal RNA". It matches the Rfam family "Bacterial small subunit ribosomal RNA", at positions 28 to 507 of the family's 1533-position model. The record is from RNAcentral.
GACGAACGCUGGCGGCGUGCCUAAUACAUGCAAGUAGAACGCUGAAGGAGGAGCUUGCUUCUCUGGAUGAGUUGCGAACGGGUGAGUAACGCGUAGGUAACCUGCCUGGUAGCGGGGGAUAACUAUUGGAAACGAUAGCUAAUACCGCAUAAGAGUAGAUGUUGCAUGACAUUUGCUUAAAAGGUGCAAUUGCAUCACUACCAGAUGGACCUGCGCUGUAUUAGCUAGUUGGUGGGGUAACGGCUUACCAAGGCGACGAUACAUAGCCGACCUGAGAGGGUGAUCGGCCACACUGGGACUGGGACACGGCCCAGACUCCUACGGGAGGCAGCAGUAGGGAAUCUUCGGCAAUGGACGGAAGUCUGACCGAGCAACGCCGCGUGAGUGAAGAAGGUUUUCGGAUCGUAAAGCUCUGGUGUAAGAGAAGAACGAGUGUGAGAGUGGAAAGUUCACACUGUGACGGUAUCUUACCAGAAAGGGACGGCUAACUACGUG